This 468-nucleotide ribosomal RNA is filed under the name uncultured bacterium. RNAcentral describes it as "partial 16S ribosomal RNA". It matches the Rfam family "Bacterial small subunit ribosomal RNA", at positions 28 to 507 of the family's 1533-position model. The record is from RNAcentral.
GACGAACGCUGGCGGCGUGCUUAACACAUGCAAGUCGAACGGAAAGGCCCUGCUUUUGUGGGGUGCUCGAGUGGCGAACGGGUGAGUAACACGUGAGUAACCUGCCCUUGACUUUGGGAUAACUUCAGGAAACUGGGGCUAAUACCGGAUAGGAGCUCCUGCUGCAUGGUGGGGGUUGGAAAGUUUCGGCGGUUGGGGAUGGACUCGCGGCUUAUCAGCUUGUUGGUGGGGUAGUGGCUUACCAAGGCUUUGACGGGUAGCCGGCCUGAGAGGGUGACCGGCCACAAUGGGACGGAGAUACGGCCCAGACUCCUACGGGAGGCAGCAGUGGGGAAUAUUGCACAAUGGGCGGAAGCCUGAUGCAGCAACGCCGCGUGCGGGAUGACGGCCUUCGGGGUGUAAACCGCUUUCGCCUGGGACGAAGCGUGAGUGACGGUAAUGGGUAAAGAAGCACCGGCUAACUACGUG